Molecule: ribosomal RNA, 1478 nt
Filed under: Staphylococcus aureus
Lineage: Bacteria; Bacillati; Bacillota; Bacilli; Caryophanales; Staphylococcaceae
Description: partial 23S ribosomal RNA
Rfam family: Bacterial large subunit ribosomal RNA
Source: RNAcentral
UAUAAUCGUUUUAAUCGAUGGGGGGACGCAGUAGGAUAGGCGAAGCGUGCGAUUGGAUUGCACGUCUAAGCAGUAAGGCUGAGUAUUAGGCAAAUCCGGUACUCGUUAAGGCUGAGCUGUGAUGGGGAGAAGACAUUGUGUCUUCGAGUCGUUGAUUUCACACUGCCGAGAAAAGCCUCUAGAUAGAAAAUAGGUGCCCGUACCGCAAACCGACACAGGUAGUCAAGAUGAGAAUUCUAAGGUGAGCGAGCGAACUCUCGUUAAGGAACUCGGCAAAAUGACCCCGUAACUUCGGGAGAAGGGGUGCUCUUUAGGGUUAACGCCCAGAAGAGCCGCAGUGAAUAGGCCCAAGCGACUGUUUAUCAAAAACACAGGUCUCUGCUAAACCGUAAGGUGAUGUAUAGGGGCUGACGCCUGCCCGGUGCUGGAAGGUUAAGAGGAGUGGUUAGCUUCUGCGAAGCUACGAAUCGAAGCCCCAGUAAACGGCGGCCGUAACUAUAACGGUCCUAAGGUAGCGAAAUUCCUUGUCGGGUAAGUUCCGACCCGCACGAAAGGCGUAACGAUUUGGGCACUGUCUCAACGAGAGACUCGGUGAAAUCAUAGUACCUGUGAAGAUGCAGGUUACCCGCGACAGGACGGAAAGACCCCGUGGAGCUUUACUGUAGCCUGAUAUUGAAAUUCGGCACAGCUUGUACAGGAUAGGUAGGAGCCUUUGAAACGUGAGCGCUAGCUUACGUGGAGGCGCUGGUGGGAUACUACCCUAGCUGUGUUGGCUUUCUAACCCGCACCACUUAUCGUGGUGGGAGACAGUGUCAGGCGGGCAGUUUGACUGGGGCGGUCGCCUCCUAAAAGGUAACGGAGGCGCUCAAAGGUUCCCUCAGAAUGGUUGGAAAUCAUUCAUAGAGUGUAAAGGCAUAAGGGAGCUUGACUGCGAGACCUACAAGUCGAGCAGGGUCGAAAGACGGACUUAGUGAUCCGGUGGUUCCGCAUGGAAGGGCCAUCGCUCAACGGAUAAAAGCUACCCCGGGGAUAACAGGCUUAUCUCCCCCAAGAGUUCACAUCGACGGGGAGGUUUGGCACCUCGAUGUCGGCUCAUCGCAUCCUGGGGCUGUAGUCGGUCCCAAGGGUUGGGCUGUUCGCCCAUUAAAGCGGUACGCGAGCUGGGUUCAGAACGUCGUGAGACAGUUCGGUCCCUAUCCGUCGUGGGCGUAGGAAAUUUGAGAGGAGCUGUCCUUAGUACGAGAGGACCGGGAUGGACAUACCUCUGGUGUACCAGUUGUCGUGCCAACGGCAUAGCUGGGUAGCUAUGUGUGGACGGGAUAAGUGCUGAAAGCAUCUAAGCAUGAAGCCCCCCUCAAGAUGAGAUUUCCCAACUUCGGUUAUAAGAUCCCUCAAAGAUGAUGAGGUUAAUAGGUUCGAGGUGGAAGCAUGGUGACAUGUGGAGCUGACGAAUACUAAUCGAUCGAAGACUUAAUCAA